CCUACGGGUGGCAACAGUGAGGAAUAUUGGUCAAUGGCCGGAAGGCUGAACCAGCCAUGCCGCGUGAAGGUCAAUGCCCUAUGGGCGUUAAACUUCUUUUGUGCGGGAGCAAUAAUGGUCACGUGUGACCAGACGACAGUACCGUUCGAAUCAGCAUCGGCUCACUCCGUGCCCGCAGCCGCGGUAAUUCGGGGGAUGCAAGGGUUAUCCGGAUUUAUUGGGUUUAAAGGGUGCGUAGGCUGUGAGGUAAGUCAGAGGUGAAACGCCCCCGCUCAACGGGGUGAAGUGCAAGUGAUACUGCCAUGCUUGAGUGCGGAUGCGGUGGGAGGAAGUGGUGGUGUAGCGGUGAAAUGCAUAGAUAUCACACAGAACACCGAUUGCGAAGGCAGCUCACGAAUCCGCGAUUGACGCUGAUGCACGAAAGCGUGGGUAUCAAACAGGAUUAGAUACCCGUGUAGUC
Molecule: ribosomal RNA, 460 nt
Filed under: uncultured bacterium
Lineage: Bacteria
Description: partial 16S ribosomal RNA
Rfam family: Bacterial small subunit ribosomal RNA
Source: RNAcentral